CCUACGGGCGGCUGCAGUGGGGAAUAUUGCACAAUGGGCGCAAGCCUGAUGCAGCCAUGCCGCGUGUGUGAAGAAGGCCUUCGGGUUGUAAAGCACUUUCAGCGGGGAGGAAGGCGGUGAGGUUAAUAACCUCAUCGAUUGACGUUACCCGCAGAAGAAGCACCGGCUAACUCCGUGCCAGCAGCCGCGGUAAUACGGAGGGUGCAAGCGUUAAUCGGAAUUACUGGGCGUAAAGCGCACGCAGGCGGUCUGUCAAGUCGGAUGUGAAAUACCCGGGCUCAACCUGGGAACUGCAUUCGAAACUGGCAGGCUAGAGUCUUGUAGAGGGGGGUAGAAUUCCAGGUGUAGCGGUGAAAUGCGUAGAGAUCUGGAGGAAUACCGGUGGCGAAGGCGGCCCCCUGGACAAAGACUGACGCUCAGGUGCGAAAGCGUGGGGAGCAAACAGGAUUAGAUACCCGGGUAGUC
RNAcentral lists this ribosomal RNA (465 nucleotides) under uncultured Klebsiella sp. RNAcentral describes it as "bacterial SSU rRNA". It matches the Rfam family "Bacterial small subunit ribosomal RNA", at positions 338 to 795 of the family's 1533-position model. Lineage: Bacteria; Pseudomonadati; Pseudomonadota; Gammaproteobacteria; Enterobacterales; Enterobacteriaceae. The record is from RNAcentral.